GGAGAUGUUUGGAGCAGCGGGCAGUCUGGUUAACUGGAAUUAGAGGCUGCUUGUGCAGUCAGACCAUCAUGGGGCUGCGAGCUGAGGGUUGACAGCGGGGGGAACUGCGACCGUCCGUCCGUCCGUCUCACCGGAGAAGCGGGCUCCAUGUCAAAAUGCCAACCUUUUCAGUCAUGUAUAAAGGAGCUGUCAUUAUUAGCAGGACACUAAUGGGUCCGUACGGAGUAGACCGAGCUGUUCAUUCCAUGGAGUUCACAGACUGUGAGAAUGGCCUGGGAAUAAAAGUGAUUGGAGGAGUGAAGGAGGUGACCGGAGAGGAGUUUGGAGUCUACGUCAAACGGAUUUUACCAGGUGGCCUUGCUUCAGCCGAUGGUAACCUGAUGCCAGGGGACCAGAUCUUGGAGGUGAAUGGGGACAGUCUAGUUGGAGUCACAAGUGAAAGAGCUGUGGACGUCUUGAGAGCAGCCUCUGCAACCAAUCACAUGCGCCUUCUUAUAGCCAGAGACGAGGAAGCAAAGAGGGAAUUUGCUGAGCUGAUGGAGAAAUAUGGAUCCAAUGGUAGCACGGGAUCAACACGCAACUCUCCCAUCCAGCAAGGAGGUCGCUACCUGGAUAGCACAUCAUCGGGUUCCUCGUCCCGCUCCCAGAGUCCUUUGCUGCUGAGUCCAGCAGGCUCUCAGAACAUGUACAACAACAGUGGGCCUAUGAUGCGCUCCCUCAGGUAA
Molecule: long non-coding RNA, 725 nt
Organism: Parambassis ranga (Indian glassy fish)
Lineage: Eukaryota; Metazoa; Chordata; Actinopteri; Ambassidae
Source: Ensembl